Molecule: ribosomal RNA, 490 nt
Filed under: uncultured bacterium
Lineage: Bacteria
Description: partial 16S ribosomal RNA
Rfam family: Bacterial small subunit ribosomal RNA
Source: RNAcentral
AUUGAACGCUGGCGGCAGGCUUAACACAUGCAAGUCGAGCGGUAGCACAAGAGAGCUUGCUCUCUGGGUGACGAGCGGCGGACGGGUGAGUAACGUCUGGGAAACUGCCUGAUGGAGGGGGAUAACUACUGGAAACGGUAGCUAAUACCGCAUAACGUCGCAAGACCAAAGAGGGGGACCUUCGGGCCUCUUGCCAUCAGAUGUGCCCAGAUGGGAUUAGCUAGUAGGUGGGGUAAUGGCUCACCUAGGCGACGAUCCCUAGCUGGUCUGAGAGGAUGACCAGCCACACUGGAACUGAGACACGGUCCAGACUCCUACGGGAGGCAGCAGUGGGGAAUAUUGCACAAUGGGCGCAAGCCUGAUGCAGCCAUGCCGCGUGUGUGAAGAAGGCCUUCGGGUUGUAAAGCACUUUCAGCGAGGAGGAAGGUGGUGAACUUAAUACGUUCAUCAAUUGACGUUACUCGCAGAAGAAGCACCGGCUAACUCCGUG